UAAUUUUUUGUUCAAACUAAUUUGAUGUAAAAUAAAAGAUUAUAAUUACUUAUAAAUAUAAUAAUUGUAUAAAGAAACACGUGGGGUUAUGAACACAAAUUAUGAACAGGAACAAUAUAUAAACAUGUUCAAUAUAUGAAAAUCAUGAAUAAUAUAUAAAAUGAUAAUAAUUGUUAAGAAAAUUUCUUACAAAAGGAUGAUCAAAAGAUGCUUUGAUAUUUUUUAUAGGUUAAAAUAAACAUUAUUUUCUUUUCCUUGAUUAUAUGAUCUUAGAAAAAACAUAUAUUAUGUUAAACAUGUAUUUUCUUCGACGUAUAUCAGUGCGAUUUUUUUCAUCCAAGCCAAAUGUAAAGCUUGAAGACGAUUUAAAUAAUUUGUUAGAUCAAAAAUUAUUAAAGCAUCGACAUCAUCCUGGAAUCAUAAAUCCACGAUUUGUUGAAGUACCCAAUUGGAUUAAGGAUUCAAUUAAAAUAGUUUUAGAUGAUUCCAAUAUUUCUAACGAAUAUUUAUGGAAAGGUGGACAAAAAUUGAUGCAACAUUUACUCGGUAGACAUAUAACAAUCAAACAACCAGUUGUACCGAAUGAAGAAAAAAGAAUAUAUGAUUCUAUGAAUCCUACAAAAUUAUAUGAAAUAGUUGAUGAUACUAAUAUUAAUAAUGAUAAUACGAAUAAUGAUUUUAAAUUGGAGUAUCAUGAAAAAGAAAAAUCACAUCAUUCAUCUAAUAUCCCUCUCAAUUAUAACAGACAAAGUUGUUUGUUAUAUUUAGUUGGUAGAAGUCAAUUUGAAUAUUCUGUUGUAUAUAGGAUUUUGAAUCAAAUUAAAACGAAGGAUGUCGAUUUUAAACCAAAAACUUUAUUUGAUUUUGGAUCUGGAGUUGGAACAGUUAUGUGGGCAUCGUCACAACUUUGGUCCGAUUCUUUGAUAGAAUAUUUUGGUGUAGAUACUUCUUCUCAUAUGAAUGAUUUAUCCGCAGAAUUAAAUAACCAUAACACUCAUCCUAUCAAAAACGUAUUCUACAGACAGUUCUUUCCUGCGACUCCUGUGCCUCUUUAUGAUAUUGUUGUUAGUUCAUUUUCUUUAUUGGAAUUACCUGACAUUGAGAAACGUUUCGAUAUUGUACAAAAGCUUUGGGCUAAAACACAAAAUUAUCUUGUUAUUAUUGAAGAUGGAACAAAUGCUGGAUUUGCAGCAGUAAAUGAAGCACGUGAUAUUUUACUCUACAAUCCUUCGCAGUCAGAUAAUAAAAAUGAUAAUAAUAUUCAUGUUUGUGCACCUUGUCCUCAUGAUAUGAAAUGCCCGAGAUAUCACACGGAUAAUACUCCUUGUAAUUUUGACAUUUCUUAUUACACAUUACCAGUGUCAGGAACUUCUUGUUUAAAAAAGAAUCGUUUUUCUUACGUCGUAUUGAAGAAAGGUGCACGAUCAGAUAGCGAUAAACAAUGGCCGCGUAUUGUACGGCCAGUAUUAAAACGAUCCAGGCAUGUAGUAUGUCGUACAUGCACAGCUAAUGGGAAAUUAGAAGAGAUCAUUUUCACUACAUUCAAAUAUGGAAAAAAUGCAUAUCGUUGUGCAAGAGUGAGCAAGUGGGGAGAUUUGUUACCAAUAGAAAUCAGUAAAGAUAACGCGAGUUAAUAGACUUUAUUAUUUACUAUUGAAAUAAUAAAUGUAACAAACUUACAGAAAAAAAAUGUUCAAUGUUUUAAAAAAUGUUUACUUAUUUUAACAGUUUAAUGAAAUGAUAGAAGAUUUAUAUAUGGAUUAGAUUCUAGAAGUAACCAAUACUUUAAAUGGUUUUAGACCAAUAGUUGCACCAUCAACAAUAUCUAAU
This 1830-nucleotide unclassified non-coding RNA is filed under the name Polistes dominula (European paper wasp). Its description in RNAcentral is "methyltransferase-like protein 17, mitochondrial, transcript variant X1". Lineage: Eukaryota; Metazoa; Arthropoda; Insecta; Hymenoptera; Vespidae. The record is from RNAcentral.